CCCCUAGACGUUCUGGGCUGCACGUGCGCUACAAUAAUACGCACAGCGAGUAUCACCGAGCUCGAAAGGGCAAGGUAAACAAUAGAAAAGGUACUGUAAUGGUUAUAGAUCCUUGUAAUUAUUGAUCUUCAACGAGGAAUUCCUAGUAAGUAUGUGUCAUCAUCACGCACUGAUUACGUCCCUGCCCUUUGUACACACCGCCCGUCGCUCCUACCGAUUGGGUGAGCCGAUGAAACUCUCGGAUGUAGGCUAUUCAUAGCCCGCAGAAGAGAUUUGAAUCGUAGCGCUUAGAGGAAGGAGAAGUCGUAACA
RNAcentral lists this ribosomal RNA (311 nucleotides) under uncultured eukaryote. RNAcentral describes it as "partial 18S ribosomal RNA". It matches the Rfam family "Eukaryotic small subunit ribosomal RNA", at positions 1470 to 1796 of the family's 1831-position model. The record is from RNAcentral.